Molecule: ribosomal RNA, 390 nt
Filed under: Gephyrocapsa sp.
Lineage: Eukaryota; Haptophyta; Isochrysidales; Noelaerhabdaceae
Description: partial small subunit ribosomal RNA
Rfam family: Eukaryotic small subunit ribosomal RNA
Source: RNAcentral
AUUCCGGCUCCAAUAGCGUAUAUUAAAGUUGUUGCGGUUAAAAAGCUCGUAGUUGGAGUUCUGCCAGGUGGCGCUCGUCCGCCCAAGUGGUGUGUACAGGGCGUGCAUCUGGCCCUUUCAAGGGGAACGUGUCUGCACUUCAUUGUGUGGUGCGAGAUCCUUGACUUUUACUUUGAAAAAAUCAGAGUGUUUCAAGCAGGCAGUCGCUCUUGCAUGGAUUAGCAUGGGAUAAUGAAAUAGGGCUCUGGUGCUAUUUUGUUGGUUUCGAACACCGGAGUAAUGAUUAACAGGGACAGACAGGGGCACUCGUAUUCCGCCGAGAGAGGUGAAAUUCUCAGACCAGCGGAAGACGAACUACUGCGAAAGCAUUUGCCAAGGAUGUUUUCAUCG